This 68-nucleotide small RNA is filed under the name Paenibacillus sp. P22. RNAcentral describes it as "ctRNA". Lineage: Bacteria; Bacillati; Bacillota; Bacilli; Caryophanales; Paenibacillaceae. The record is from RNAcentral.
GCCUGGACGGUACAUAACAAGCCAAAACCCCCGGAGAUGUCUCUCCGGGGGUUUUGGCUUGUUCGCUU